UUCGCAAUGCCCGAAAGGGUGACGAAGCGACGCCGCGUGUGGGAAGAAGGCCUUCGGGUUGUAAACCACUGUCGGGAGUUAAGAAAUGCAAGGGUGCUAAUAGUAUCCUUGCUUGACUAAGGCUCCGGAGGAGGCCACGGCUAACUCUGUGCCAGCAGCCGCGGUAAUACAGAGGCGGCAAGCGUUGUUCGGAAUUAUUGGGCGUAAAGAGCACGUAGGCGGCUAUGUAAGUCGGUUGUGAAAGCCUUCCGCUCAACGGAAGAACAGCAUCCGAUACUGCAUGGCUUGAGUGCGGGAGGGGGGAGUGGAACUUCUGGUGGAGCGGUGAAAUGCGUAGAUAUCAGAAGGAACGCCGGCGGCGAAAGCGGCUCUCUGGCCCAUAACUGACGCUGAGUGUGCGAAAGCUAGGGGAGCGAACGGGAUUAGAUACCCCGGUAGUCCUAGCCGUAAACGAUGGGCACUAAGUAGAGGGGUUUU
RNAcentral lists this ribosomal RNA (477 nucleotides) under uncultured anaerobic ammonium-oxidizing bacterium. RNAcentral's name for it is "bacterial SSU rRNA". It matches the Rfam family "Bacterial small subunit ribosomal RNA", at positions 365 to 832 of the family's 1533-position model. The record is from RNAcentral.